GAUGAACGCUGGCGGUAUGCUUAACACAUGCAAGUCGUACGGGUUAGAUUUAUCUAAUUUAGUGGCGGACGGGUGCGUAACACGUAAGAACCUACCUUUUGGAGGGGGAUAACAUUGGGAAACUGAUGCUAAUACCCCGUAAUACUGAGGAGUUAAAAGCGGGUAUCUCGCAAGAGAGCUACGCGCCAAGAGAGGGGCUUGCGGCUGAUUAGCUAGUUGGGGGGGUUAAAGGCUUCCCAAGGCCACGAUCAGUAGCUGGUCUGAGAGGACGAUCAGCCACACUGGGGACUGAGACACGGCCCAGACUCCUACGGGGAGGCAGCAGUGAGGAAUUUUUCCGCAAUGGGGCGCAAGCCUGACGGAGC
Molecule: ribosomal RNA, 365 nt
Filed under: uncultured bacterium
Lineage: Bacteria
Description: bacterial SSU rRNA
Rfam family: Bacterial small subunit ribosomal RNA
Source: RNAcentral